This 253-nucleotide ribosomal RNA is filed under the name uncultured bacterium. RNAcentral describes it as "partial 16S ribosomal RNA". It matches the Rfam family "Bacterial small subunit ribosomal RNA", at positions 524 to 776 of the family's 1533-position model. The record is from RNAcentral.
UACGGGGGGGGCAAGCGUUGUCCGGAAUUAUUGGGCGUAAAGAGCUCGUAGGCGGUCUGUCGCGUCUGCUGUGAAAACUCGGGGCUUAACCCCGGGCCUGCAGUGGGUACGGGCAGACUAGAGUGCGGUAGGGGAGACUGGAAUUCCUGGUGUAGCGGUGAAAUGCGCAGAUAUCAGGAGGAACACCGAUGGCGAAGGCAGGUCUCUGGGCCGAUACUGACGCUGAGGAGCGAAAGCGUGGGGAGCGAACAGG